Molecule: long non-coding RNA, 201 nt
Filed under: Vigna radiata
Lineage: Eukaryota; Viridiplantae; Streptophyta; Magnoliopsida; Fabales; Fabaceae
Description: long non-coding RNA (VRAD_LNC007405)
Source: RNAcentral
ACGAAUCGAACAUACACUAGAAUGAGAGGGAUCUGGAGACUGUAUAGGUAUGGGACUAUACAAUUGAAAGAUAGCUUAAAGGAAUUGAUUUGGCUACCCAUAUCACCAAAAUGCAUUUACUUUUCGGAAGCCUAACCCUUAAGAACUUCAUGGUUAAGCGUGCUUAGCCUGGAGUAAUUCUGGGAUGGGUGACCUUCCGGG